This is a long non-coding RNA of Oenanthe melanoleuca, 434 nucleotides long. RefSeq lists it as uncharacterized. The transcript is spliced from 3 exons. Lineage: Eukaryota; Metazoa; Chordata; Aves; Passeriformes; Muscicapidae. The record is from RefSeq and is a predicted model, not a curated record.
UAAUCACCUUGAAGAUAUUUUCAGCAUGUCUAAAAGUAAUUAAAAAAAGUAUGUGCCUUAUGAUGUGAAGUUUAUUCACAGAUUUUGAUUUAGCAGCUUUGCCAAUAAUCCAAGGAUCAGAGCAUCAGUAGAAAGCUGAAGAAGAAAACACUUUGUGAAGAAACACAUCCUACUCCAUCAGAAAUGUGUGCUUCUUCCAGCUCUGUGAUUUUGCAAGAGGAAAAUACAUUGGGACAGAUGAACUGGCAGAGCUUGGGAAGGUGGUCAAUAUCUGGUUUCCUCAGAAAUUCUCCUGUCUUGUUUGGUUUUGUUCCUUUAUCUGUGCUAAGACAUGUGAGCAAAAUGAAGCAAGGAAGAUUUUUUCCUAGGCGUUUUCAGGGGAGGGUAUGCUGUAGAUUAUGAUAAAUUUUUCUUUCCGGAAAGAUCAAUAAAAA